This 433-nucleotide ribosomal RNA is filed under the name uncultured bacterium. RNAcentral's name for it is "partial 16S ribosomal RNA". It matches the Rfam family "Bacterial small subunit ribosomal RNA", at positions 29 to 507 of the family's 1533-position model. The record is from RNAcentral.
AACGAACGCUGGCGGCAUGCCUAACACAUGCAAGUCGAACGAGAUCUUCGGAUCUAGUGGCGCACGGGUGCGUAACGCGUGGGAAUCUGCCCCUUGCUUCGGAAUAACAGUGAGAAAUUACUGCUAAUACCGGAUGAUGUCUUCGGACCAAAGAUUUAUCGGCAAGGGAUGAGCCCGCGUAGGAUUAGGUAGUUGGUGGGGUAAUGGCCUACCAAGCCGACGAUCCUUAGCUGGUCUGAGAGGAUGAUCAGCCACACUGGGACUGAGACACGGCCCAGACUCCUACGGGAGGCAGCAGUGGGGAAUAUUGGACAAGGGGCGAAAGCCUGAUCCAGCAAUGCCGCGUGAGUGAUGAAGGCCUUAGGGUUGUAAAGCUCUUUUACCAGGGAUGAUAAUGACAGUACCUGGAGAAUAAGCUCCGGCUAACUCCGUG